Molecule: long non-coding RNA, 2056 nt
Organism: Bombus impatiens (common eastern bumble bee)
Lineage: Eukaryota; Metazoa; Arthropoda; Insecta; Hymenoptera; Apidae
Exons: 2
Source: RefSeq, a predicted model, not a curated record
AAUAUUAACAAUUUCUCAUUACGUAAAAAGUCACUGACUCCUAUCCUAAUCUGAGACGAUUGCGCGCACUGCGAUUCUUCGGUUCCCACAAUCUGUCCAGCGUAUUAUGAUUAUCCUGCUGUCGGUCACCAUGCCGACUUUCAAGAGAACACACGAAAAAAUGUCGGAUUCGAUGCGAGACGAGCGACAGCUAUGUGUGCUUUUAACUCCUUGUUCACCUUUGACUUCCUUUUACAAGGAAAAAGAGAAUAUUCUUGUUAAAAAUUCAACUGGAAAUAUUGGAAAUACAGUAGCGUGCAGGUUAUAUAGCGCGGUGAAAGAAGAAUUUGCUUCGCGUUAUUGCGCGUUGUCACGCUACGUUUAAUAUUAUUUUUCUAUUGAGGUUAAGAGGUGUAUCAUGAGUGGAAUUGUUUUUAUGCGAACUGACUGACAGUCGAAAUAAACCUAUGCUUGUCGUUUAAUCUAAAUAGACUUUUGCCGGUUAGUGGAUCGUGGAUAUUUUGUACGGCAAAUCUAAUAUAUAACUUAUAUUUCAAAGUAACGAAUUCAAAGUAAAAUGUUAUUUUUCGUUAACUCUUCCAAAGUGACAAUGAACUUAGUUUAAAUCGUGUCCACGAAAGAACAGUCGUAGUAUGUGUAUAAUAGGUAUAAGUAUAUUAAUAAGUUUUUCGUAACUUUUAUAAAAUCACUAAGAUUUCAGAAAUACCUAAUAAUCUUGAAGUUUAUAAACUCAGAGAAGAAAUUAGAAUGAAUAGUUCGGAUGCUUCGACCAUAAUCCAUCACAAGCAUGACUUGAUAUUAUAAGACAAGGCUAAUUUUACUUUAGCGAGAUUAUUCUUCCGUCUUUUAAGCCAAGCAAUAGUGGUUAAGAUAACCGGAUCGGUUGCCGGCACGAUAGCCUUGAGAGAGGGUGCGUUUCACGAGGUGCCCGCAUAGUACGGCGCGUAUACUUCUCGAUUUCUUUGAAUUUUGUCUCGUAGCUAGACCAAAAGUCCACCCUCGUUGUUAGGGAACAUGCAUGUAAAGAGGAGACACGUAAUACAACGGAACGACGACGCCGCGAGAGACAAGCGUGGAAAGAGGCUGCUAUACACACCCGCAUGCGAUCCCGUACAAACCGUAACCUUACACGAACGUCGCGCUAAGUGUGUACUGUGUAUCGAUCCCGAGAGUACACACGAAGACAGCUCUGAGCGCCACCACGUUCUCUCUCUGUCUCUCGUAGGAGAGGCGCUGUCUCUUGUUGUUGCUUUCGUUAGAACGCCGACGGUUACUUAGACCCGGUACGUAUUUCAAACAUGAGCUUGGAAAGAAAUUAUUGAAACUCGAUCGCACACCACACCAAUCUUUUCAUUUCCAUGCAACAUCGGCUAACAAUGAGAACAAGGACAUGGUUAAAGGCUUUUCACGCGACUUAUUCGCCGGCUCCGUAUACCGGUUAUGAUCGUCGAAUAAAUCCAAAGGAUACGUAUCGUUGUUAUGUAUUUAGGUAGCUAUUAAGUGAAAAAGUUCUCUUACCUUAAUUUUCAGUGAAUAAUCUGAACACUGACACACAACGAUACAACACACACUCCACACCCGACGAAGGUUCGAGCUCGACUGAAAGUCUUCGCGGAGUGGGUUGGCGGGUGGCGCCACGGCCAAUCCCAACGUACUAACACGCAAUUCCAUCUUCCUCGUAAGACGUAUGUAUAGUUCGCUCCGACGAAUUGUUCCGCUCGAGGUAAAUAUCGAAGAGAAAACACUUCUCCUGUUCUGCACACCCUUCGAUUAAACGCUCGAUGACAUUGUUUGCUGUCUCUAACCCUAUCCAAGAUCCCAAUUGUGCCCUGACGUGUUGAAUAAGAGAAGCUUCGUGAUAUUCUCGUAAAUUGAAACGAUCUAUUCGAGCAGACCGUGCAAUAUAGGAGCCACUUGACUCUCUUUGCUCUACUAUGCAAGGAAUAUGUAUGAAUUUCGAUGUAUUAUGAACAGCGAUACGUUUCAUAGCUUAUGCUUAUGGAUUUCUCGUAUCUCUUCGCGUAUACAAUAAACGUGCAGAGUGUGCUGCAUUAUA